AGCUCCAAUAGCGUAUAUUAAAGUUGUUGCAGUUAAAAAGCUCGUAGUUGGAUUUGUGGUGGCCUUGGGCGGCCUGGCACUUAGUGUGAGUGUUUGCCCGAGGCGCCAUUCCUUGGGUGGAACCUGUGUGGCAUUAGGUUGUCGUGCAGGGGAUGCCCAUCGUUUACUGUGAAAAAAUUAGAGUGUUCAAAGCAGGCUUAUGCCGUUGAAUAUAUUAGCAUGGAAUAAUAAGAUAGGACCUUGGUACUAUUUUGUUGGUUUGCGCACCAAGGUAAUGAUUAAUAGGGACAGUUGGGGGUAUUCGUAUUCCAUUGUCAGAGGUGAAAUUCUUGGAUUUUUGGAAGACGAACUACUGCGAAAGCAUUUACCAAGGAUGUUUUCAUUA
RNAcentral lists this ribosomal RNA (385 nucleotides) under Nitzschia sp. (in: diatoms). Its description in RNAcentral is "Nitzschia sp. (in: Bacillariophyta) partial small subunit ribosomal RNA". It matches the Rfam family "Eukaryotic small subunit ribosomal RNA", at positions 587 to 975 of the family's 1831-position model. The record is from RNAcentral. Lineage: Eukaryota; Bacillariophyta; Bacillariophyceae; Bacillariales; Bacillariaceae.